Non-coding RNA from Schistosoma rodhaini, 45 nucleotides. NCBI's taxonomy places the organism in Eukaryota, Metazoa, Platyhelminthes, Trematoda, Strigeidida, Schistosomatidae. The record is from Rfam.
CUGCAGCUGACGAGUCCCAAAUAGGACGAAACGCGCGUCCUGGAU